GAUUGGUCAAGUGUCGAAUUUAACUCCAGGAUUUCUUUGUUAGUUUUCUGCCUCGAUGAUCUAACUCUGUCAGUGGGAUGUUGAAGUCACCCACUCUCAUGGUGUGGCUAAGUAUUUUUAUCUUUCUCCUACCCUUUACCUUGAGUCUAUCAGUGUCAUCACGUGUAAGAUGGGUCUCUUGAAGACAGCAGAUGGAAAAAUUUUCCAAAGAUGACUUAAAAUAACACUUGAAUUGGAGGGAGGAAGGAAAGCUAAUAUUAUUAGAGCACAACAUCUUAAAUUUUAAAGAAUUAUAUUUGAGAGGAAUAUAUACAAUAGACAGCUUGGAAGAGCGUUCUGGGAAGAAGCAAGAUUCACCUCUCUUCCAAUCUGAAACAUAAUAAAAAUGCCUUUCAUUUGUAUGGUUCUUCAGAGUUUAAACAUGGCUUUUAAGCACAUUUUUCUCUGAGGAAGCUCUUCCUUUGACAGCAUCUUCCUCAGUGCUGCCUUCAUGGCAUCAUUCCGUAAGCUAUAGAUGACUGGAUUGAGUGUUGGAGGUAUCACAGUAUAGAAUACGGAGAAUACAAGGUCCACAGUCGAUGAGGAAUCAGAAGGCAGUCUGAGAAACUCAAAGCCUGCAGCUGAAAGAAAGAAGGUGGCUACAAAUAGGUGUGGUAGGCAGGUGGAGAAGACCUUGGUCCGGCCCUCAGCUGAUGGGAUUCUCAGCACUGUAGAGAAGAUGCGAAUGUAGGAGAGCACAAUGGAGAUCAAACAGAUAAAUGCUGCAGACGUUGUGAAUGCAGCCAGUGCAAUCUCAUUAAUGAAUUCAUAAGAACAGGCUAGUUUCAGCAUCUGAGGAACAUCACAGAAGAAUUGGUGAAUGACUCUCUUCCCACAGAGAGGUAUGGAGAAGUUAAUGGCAGCAUGCAUGAGCCCAGAGAGGCCCCCAGCAAUCCACACAGCUAUCACCGCAUGCCUACAGGCACGGGGAUCCAUAAUAGUCUCAUAAUGAAGUGGUUGACAGAUUGCUGCGUACCUGUCAUAAGACAUCACUGUGAGAAUGGCCACUUCUGAUGAGGCCAGAGCUAUGAAGAAGAAAACCUGAAGAAUGCACUGAACAAGAGAAAUGUAACCGUUGCCCAUAAGUGAAUUUGCAAUGGACUGGGGGACUGUGACAGAGAUGAAGCAGAGGUCCAGAACAGAGAGGUGCUUUAAAAAGUAAUACAUGGGGGAAUGGAGACGACGGUCCACAGUAAUGAUGGUGAUAAUGAGGAGGUUGCCUGUCAAAGCCAGCAGGUAUGUCACCAGAAAUACCAAUGCAUGUAAAAUCUGAAGCUUACGCUCAUCAGAAAACCCCAUAAGAAGGAAUCCACUCAUUGAAGUCAAAUUGACCAUAGUCUCUCUGAAGAUACCAAGUGUGACUCUGUUUAGGAAGCCAAAGAACAGUAGGAAGAAAAUGCAUGACAUCUAAUAUAUUUGUGUGUCAAGUAACUCAAUUCCUCAGCAUGGAGGUACUGAAAUGAGAUGAAUUUAUUUUCAUUGUGAUUAGUUAAUAUUCAAUUCAAAAACGUUUUAGCAAUUAUUCAGAAAUAGAAUCCCUGAAUGUGAUCAACAAGUCAUAAACAUUUUCUGGAGCAGAGUUUGCAUUGUCAAAGAGGGAGAAAUUGAUGGAAAUGAUAAAGUCUUUACCUUCAAUAAAGUCAAUGAAAAUGAUUCUAGCAUACCAAUCUCAUUACAUCUUCUAUAUGAUGCCUUAGUAUUACAACGAUGCACUAUAUAGCUUCUUUUGCUAACCAGCUAACAUGAAGUUAUUGAUACCGCCUUGCAAAUGGAUCUAGAAACAGCUCAGAGGCAGAUCUAGAAACAGCUCAGAAGCUAAUCUAGAAGACAGGUUAGCUCAAAGAACAGUCAUAUUUUUUCCUUUGAAAAGCUCUUAACAUUUUAAAAAGAUUACAUUUGAUUGUAAUAAACUUUUCAUAGAAAUUUUGAAAAAUGAAAUGUCUCAAAAUUGUAAAAUGCAGAUGCCACUGAUAUCAGGCAUUGAAUCCUGAGCUUUGGAGAUCUUGCAACUAAGUGACAAAGUUCACCGUCAAAGAACGUUUAAUUCUCAAAAUUCUUAUGACAACUUGGGGUUGGACAUUUUCAAUCAAAUCCAUUUGAAGAAAUAAAGAGAUUUUCUAAAAUC
Molecule: long non-coding RNA, 2164 nt
Organism: Pan troglodytes (chimpanzee)
Lineage: Eukaryota; Metazoa; Chordata; Mammalia; Primates; Hominidae
Exons: 3
Source: RefSeq, a predicted model, not a curated record